GACGAAUGCUGGCGGCGUGCUUAACACAUGCAAGUCGAACGGAAAGGCCUCUUUCGGGGGGUACUCGAGUGGCGAACGGGUGAGUAACACGUGAGUAACCUGCCCUUGACUUUGGGAUAACUUCAGGAAACUGGGGCUAAUACCGGAUAGGAGCUCCUGCUGCAUGGUGGGGGUUGGAAAGUUUCGGCGGUUGGGGAUGGACUCGCGGCUUAUCAGCUUGUUGGUGGGGUAGUGGCUUACCAAGGCUUUGACGGGUAGCCGGCCUGAGAGGGUGACCGGCCACAUUGGGACUGAGAUACGGCCCAGACUCCUACGGGAGGCAGCAGUGGGGAAUAUUGCACAAUGGGUGGAAGCCUGAUGCAGCAACGCCGUGUGCGGGAUGACGGCCUUCGGGUUGUAAACCGCUUUCGCUCAUGACGAAGCUUUGUGUGACAGUAGUGGGUAAAGAAGCGCCGGCUAACUACGUG
RNAcentral lists this ribosomal RNA (467 nucleotides) under uncultured bacterium. RNAcentral describes it as "partial 16S ribosomal RNA". It matches the Rfam family "Bacterial small subunit ribosomal RNA", at positions 28 to 507 of the family's 1533-position model. The record is from RNAcentral.